CAGAGAAUAGUUUAAUAAAAAUAAUAAUUUUGGAGAUUAUUGAUAAAGAAUCUUACUUUUUCUCUGA
This 67-nucleotide transfer RNA is filed under the name Thaumatosmylus hainanus. RNAcentral describes it as "tRNA-Pro". Lineage: Eukaryota; Metazoa; Arthropoda; Insecta; Neuroptera; Osmylidae. The record is from RNAcentral.